Molecule: ribosomal RNA, 491 nt
Filed under: uncultured bacterium
Lineage: Bacteria
Description: partial 16S ribosomal RNA
Rfam family: Bacterial small subunit ribosomal RNA
Source: RNAcentral
AGUGAACGCUGGCGGUAGGCCUAACACAUGCAAGUCGAACGGCAGCACAGUAAGAGCUUGCUCUUACGGGUGGCGAGUGGCGGACGGGUGAGGAAUACAUCGGAAUCUACUUUUUCGUGGGGGAUAACGUAGGGAAACUUACGCUAAUACCGCAUACGACCUACGGGUGAAAGCAGGGGAUCUUCGGACCUUGCGCGAUUGAAUGAGCCGAUGUCGGAUUAGCUAGUUGGCGGGGUAAAGGCCCACCAAGGCGACGAUCCGUAGCUGGUCUGAGAGGAUGGACAGCCAACGUGGAAAGGGACACCGGCCCAGACCCCUACGGGGGGCAGCAGGGGGGAAUUUUGGAAAAUGGGCGCAAGCCUGAUCCAGCCAUCCCGGGUGGGUGAAGAAGGCCUUCGGGUUGUAAAGCCCUUUUGUUGGGAAAAAAAAGCAGCAGGUUAAAACCCCGCUGUUCUGACGGUACCCAAAAAAAAAGCACCGGCUAACUUCGU